GACGAACGCUGGCGGCGUGCUUAACACAUGCAAGUCGAACGGAAAGGCCCUGCUUUUGUGGGUUGCUCGAGUGGCGCACGCGUGAGUAACACGUGAGUAACCUGCCCUUGACUUUCGGAUAACUUCAGGAAACUGGGGCUAAUAUCGGAUAGGAGCUCCUGCUGCAUGUUGUGGGUUGGAAAGUUUCGGCGGUUGGGGAUGGACUCGCGGCUUAUGAGCUUGUUGGUGGGGUGGUGGCUUACAAAGGCUUUGAGGGGAGGCCGGCCUGAGAGGGGGACGGGCACAAUGGGACUGAGGGAAGGAGCAGAAGUCCAACGGAAGCAAGGGGUGGGAAAAUUACGAAGAGGGCGGAAGCGUGAGGCAGAAACGCCGCGAGCGGGAUGACGGCCUUCGGGGGGUAAACCGAUGUCGCAGGUGACGAAGCGGGAGUGACGGUAAUGGGUAAAGAAGCACCGGCUAACUACGUG
Molecule: ribosomal RNA, 467 nt
Filed under: uncultured bacterium
Lineage: Bacteria
Description: partial 16S ribosomal RNA
Rfam family: Bacterial small subunit ribosomal RNA
Source: RNAcentral